Molecule: non-coding RNA, 1442 nt
Organism: Benincasa hispida (wax gourd)
Lineage: Eukaryota; Viridiplantae; Streptophyta; Magnoliopsida; Cucurbitales; Cucurbitaceae
Source: RefSeq, a predicted model, not a curated record
GGUUGGGUGGGCUUAAAAAGCUCACCCCGUGUUUGAAAUUUGAAAUUGGUUAGUUUGAAACCUACCGUUUUACCCCCUUCGUUUACUUCCCUCAUUUCACGUCCCAUUUUGCAAGUCUAUUCUUCAGUCCCCUUUCACUUUCACUCUUCUGUCACGCGUAAUUAAUCAUCACUCUUUCUUCUCAUUUUCUUCUUUCUUCCGUCGUUUGGGUUUUCUUCUUCGUCUGAUCUCUUCGUUCUCCCUUCGGCUGGAAUGGGUUGUAUGUCUUUCAUUUCUUCGACUAGGAUGGAUUAUUUUCUCUGGCCGCUUCAAUAUUAAAUCAUAUGUCCUCCCUUGCCCUUUUUCUUUGGCUUUUCAUGUAAAUGUGAGGCAAGUUAACUCCUGGUAGGGGAUGCAGACUAUGUUAUUGGAGCUUGGUGAGGGUCAAUCCACCCAAGAACAGGUCUGUUUUCUAUUUUUUUCCUUUUUUUUCCCUGUAAGGCCGAUGAUGAUUUCAAACUAUUUUUGAAACUAUUUUUCCUUAUCUUUGGAGUAUGAUUUAUGUUUUAGUUUUAUUUCCUUUCAACCGUUUUAUGAGUGAAGGUAUUUUUUGCUUCAUUCCAAUAAAUAAAAAUUUGGCAUUCGAAAUUUAAUUUUUGUACAAUUUAAAAUUGAUUUCAACUUUGAAAUUGUUGAAACUGUUUAUUUGGUUUACUUGGAGUUGGAUUUGUUCCAAUCAAAUGUCUUUUUGAAAUCUUGAGGGCUUCAUUAUGGUGUAUUUAUGUCAUUUUUUAGCUCAACCAACAAAUAAAUAGUAACUUGACUAUUACUUAAUUAAUUUAUUUUUGACUUGAUUGCCUUUAAUAUGGGUUUACUAUUUGAAUUUAUUGAGUUAGGUACACUUAAGUUUACCUAACCUUCCUCACCAACCCUACUUAUUGUAUGCUCUACUUAUAUCUCAAUCCGUGUUCAUAUUUUUUUAGACUUCUCCACAGACUCUUUUCUAAACUGUGUUGGUAAGUCCUUCAACCUUCCUUUUUAUUUCAACUUUCUCUUAAAUCUAUUUUCCAUUCUAGUAUGUGUUGUUCGACUAUUUCAAUAUACUUUGUUUCCUUCUUCCACCUCUAGCUUCAACUUAUAAGGUAUGUUUCCUUCUUUUCUUAUAGUCGAAUUAAGGUAUGUCGCUAACAUUUUCUUGUUUUUGUUAGGCUAUCAACAGAUUAUUCUGCCCCCUACUUGUGGACUGUCUUCACCAUCGCUCAAUCCGAACAUAAACAAAGGACCAAACUAAUCGAACAUAUCUAUCGUAACUAGUUUGAGGUAGUAAUGGGUUAUAUGAGGGGCCCUUAUACCAUAACUUCUACAUCCCAACUCCAAAAAAACCAUUCGCUUCAACUUUGAUUACUGGUAUUGACUACUUAUCAUAAUCAAAUGCAAGGUAAUUAUCUUAUGUACAAUUUCAA